ACUAGGUCCUGUAGACCUGAGCUGUGCUAACCAAGAGCGCCAAUAUCAUUGCCGCUCUCAUUACGGCUCCGAAUGUGAAAUUUGACAUACAGGUGAGCCAGGCUCCAUUGCCGUGACACGGCAGGAUUUUAUACGUUCCCAUAGCAAUGUAGAGUGACCAAUAAUAUAAACGUGCCCAACCUGAUCAUGUCUAAAAGGUGUUUUGCCAAACAGAUUCAUUUAAAAUAAUUCGUUUUUGUCACUUGUCAUGUUCUGAGCUGAAUUAGUAGGCUAUCUGAGAUUUGAAGGUUGAAUGUGGUAUGGGGAAAAUUUAAAGGAUGUACGGCUGUAAAAUAUGAAGAGAUCCUGUUGAACAAAGUCUAUUUUUAGGGCUGUUUGUACUCUCAUUCUGACGGCACCCAUUCACUGCAAUGGUUCCAUUGGUGUGCAAGUGAUAUAAUGCUAAAUUUCUUCUUCUGAUGAUGAAAGAAACUCAUCUACAUCUUGGAUGGCUCGAGGGAUGCUCACAGUGAUAAUCAGUGCACUGUUGGAUAAUGCAUAUCCUGUCAGACAAGUCUGCUUUUGCUUGUUGGAGUGAAACUUUCCAGACGCUGGCUGACGGAGAAGGUCAAGAAAGUUGCUAAAUACUGCAGCUGAUCAAAGGCUAAUGUCUCUCCUCGUCUCUCUCCUUAUUGUCACCGCUGUUCAGAGGUUGGCCUUUCUCUUUGCUGGUCCACAUGCAUCUAGUCUUUACUCUGUCUCCAGGAAUACAGCUUUUGUAGAGAACAAGGCUCAUUUGUCAAACACUGUUAGCGGCUCCCUGGCAAAUGUUUUACCCUUUUAUCUUUGUUCAAAAGGAGAUUUGCUGUCGCACUUCCAUAUUUAAGCUGUCAUGGCGUUCCUUUUUUUGUAGCCUGCACUUUGUGAGCCAAGUUUAAACAAGAGUGGUGGCUUAGAAAAAUAAGAAAGCAAUUUGCUGUUCCAACAAAUGGCUGAAUUACGAAGAUCCACACUGCAGGCGUGUACAACGCUUUGAAGUGUCAGGGAAUUGACAAUGCUCUCUAGAGUGUUGCCCUUUUUUCUGCUCGCCUUUUUUCCUCUGUUGAGAGAGUUUGUAGCAUCUCAAGUGAUAAUCCAGCUCCACGCCAUUGUAUGAAUCUCUAAUGACCCAAGGAUGUUCUUUGUUAGCAGUCUAUGCUAGCUGUAUUGAUGCUGCAGUAUUUAUUUAAAGCCUGUUAACCACUGGAGACAUUUUUAUUGAUGUUUACAAUUACUGCCAUUCAGUUAUUAGUUAUUUGUUGUGAGGAUUGUGCUGUUUAACAUUGCCGUCAGGGUACAUUCAAAUAUUGUUAAAGCCUCAAAGUAAAUGGCAACAUUUCCUUUAGUGUUUCAAAUAAUACAAUUAAAAUAUUAAAUAAAAAACCUAU
This is a long non-coding RNA of Onychostoma macrolepis, 1406 nucleotides long. RefSeq lists it as uncharacterized. Lineage: Eukaryota; Metazoa; Chordata; Actinopteri; Cypriniformes; Cyprinidae. The transcript has 4 exons. The record is from RefSeq and is a predicted model, not a curated record.